UACGUAGGGUGCGAGCGUUAAUCGGAAUUACUGGGCGUAAAGCGUGCGCAGGCGGUGCGCCAAGCUCGAUGUGAAAGCCCCGGGCUUAACCUGGGAAUUGCAUUGAGGACUGGCGUGCUCGAGUGCGGCAGAGGGGGGUGGAAUUCCCAGUGUAGUGGUGAAAUACGUAGAGAUUGGGAAGAACACCAGUGGCGAAGGCGGCUAUCUGGACGGUUUCUGACACUAAGACUCGAAAGCGUGGGGAGCAAACAGG
This 253-nucleotide ribosomal RNA is filed under the name uncultured bacterium. RNAcentral's name for it is "partial 16S ribosomal RNA". It matches the Rfam family "Bacterial small subunit ribosomal RNA", at positions 524 to 776 of the family's 1533-position model. The record is from RNAcentral.